This 306-nucleotide ribosomal RNA is filed under the name Triticum aestivum (bread wheat). Its description in RNAcentral is "partial small subunit ribosomal RNA". Lineage: Eukaryota; Viridiplantae; Streptophyta; Magnoliopsida; Poales; Poaceae. The record is from RNAcentral.
AUGGGAAGGAGCCCUUUUUCCAUUGUCUACACUAAAGUUCCAACACAUGUGGUGGACCUGGUGAAACUACCAUCAAGGGGAAACUCAAAAUCAGCAUUGUCCUUUGCUGAUAAUUACACCGAGUUAUUUGAAGAGAUUCGCGGUUCUUUGGAAGCACAAAAUCAGAAAUAUAAACAACUUGAUGAUUGCAAAAGGAGGCCAAAAUCAUUCCAAGCCGGUGAUAAGGUGAUGGUCUACCUCCGAAAAGAGAGGCUGCCUUUAGGUGUUAAAGGGAAACUUAGGCAGCGAAGAAGAAGCGCUCUAUGA